UACGUAGGGAGCAAGCGUUGUUCGGAUUUACUGGGCGUAAAGGGCGCGUAGGCGGCGCGGUAAGUCACUUGUGAAAUCUCUGAGCUUAACUCAGAACGGCCAAGUGAUACUGCAGUGCUAGAGUGCAGAAGGGGCAAUCGGAAUUCUUGGUGUAGCGGUGAAAUGCGUAGAUAUCAAGAGGAACACCUGAGGUGAAGACGGGUUGCUGGGCUGACACUGACGCUGAGUGCGCGAAAGCUAGGGGAGCAAACAGG
Molecule: ribosomal RNA, 254 nt
Filed under: uncultured bacterium
Lineage: Bacteria
Description: partial 16S ribosomal RNA
Rfam family: Bacterial small subunit ribosomal RNA
Source: RNAcentral